GACUGAUAGGAGUGAACAAAAAGCCUAUGGAUUUGGUGAAUCACAUUAGUGGGCACUAGAAAGCAUUCACCACAGUGAUGACACUCAAAAACCAGACUCCUAGGAAACUAAUCCAGGUAGAAAACACAGGAGACUGUGUCAAGAUGGUGGCAUAAGCAGACUCUGAACUCACCUCUUCCCAUGGACACAAUGAAUUUACAACUAGUCUUGGAACAAUUACCUCUAAGAGAGAACUGAAACCUGGAUAAAAAGAACCCCCACAACAAGGGAUGGUGGUGACUGGAGUUUAAGAGGCAGAAAUUCCUUUCUGGAGAGAAAAAAGCCACCUUCUAGCUGCAACACUUCACAGCUGGCCACCAGAAAUCUUAAGAAAAAAGAAAGCAAAGACACUGAGCAAGAAUAAAAAUUCAGACAGCCACCGUUGUUUCGGAUAAAUUGUAUGUUUUUACCCGAAGAUCCAGUAAUGGCAGAGUGAAGGUCAAAACAAAAAGGAACAGUUGCAGAGGUCCGAUGAAGCAAAUAGCAACUUCCUGAUGGGAGCUGCUCUAACUGUCUGGACCCAUGACUAAUUCCAGUGAGCACAAUUUCUCUGCUAAUCAGUAAUUUGAAGAAGGAAUAAAUGUGUGCCAAUAUUUAUAAGUGUAUCACUCAGUCCAUUCUGGCUGAAACAUGUUGUGCCUCAGUUACAAAUGGAAACAUAUUCCAAGGAGCAUGUGAAAAACAGCCUGUGAGAGCAAACUGAAAAUCAAAACAUAUCCGUAGGAUUAUUUAUCAAAAGAGAAAUGUUGGCAAUUGUAUAUGUAGAUAGUGAAUUAACCUGGGAGGGAUUUAAUUAUUCUAUAUUGUUUUUGUUUGUUCAAUACCCUGGGAGUUUAUUAAUAAUUGUGAGAGUUAUUAGAGAACGAUAUACUAUUAAUAGCAAGCAAUCUGUAACGUUACAUGUGUUACUUAUGUUAUGAUCAGGAAAUUGCUUCUCACAUGGAUAACAUCACAUUAAAUAAUCAUGACAAAUCUUUUACCAACACUCUUGUUUUGAAUAAUCUGAAAAAGAACAUCCCUUUGCAAUUAGCCUAAGUGGCCACUGGAUGUCAGUAUUAUGUUAUGCCUGUUGAUUAUUUACUCUGUUUUGGUUAGUAAUUUCCUGUAGGUAUUUCAUAAUUUACAACUCUAUCUUAAAGAAAAACUUCAAACAAAAAAGUCAUAUUAUAUUAAAAAUUAUUUAUGUUUAGGCAACCCAACAUUCAAGGUCCCCUUAUCUACCAAGAUUUUUUUUUUUUUAAUUCUCUGAUACUGAAUUUUAAAGAUUUAUU
Long non-coding RNA from Diceros bicornis minor, 1310 nucleotides. RefSeq lists it as uncharacterized. The transcript has 4 exons. Lineage: Eukaryota; Metazoa; Chordata; Mammalia; Perissodactyla; Rhinocerotidae. The record is from RefSeq and is a predicted model, not a curated record.